RNAcentral lists this ribosomal RNA (776 nucleotides) under uncultured bacterium. RNAcentral's name for it is "bacterial SSU rRNA". It matches the Rfam family "Bacterial small subunit ribosomal RNA", at positions 1 to 778 of the family's 1533-position model. The record is from RNAcentral.
GCCCUUAGAGUUUGAUCCUGGCUCAAGAUGAACGCUGGCGGCGUGCUUAACACAUGCAAGUCGAGCGAAGCACAUAAGUUUGAUUCUUCGGAUGAAGACUUUUGUGACUGAGCGGCGGACGGGUGAGUAACGCGUGGGUAACCUGCCUCAUACAGGGGGAUAACAGUUAGAAAUGGCUGCUAAUACCGCAUAAGACCACAGUACUGCAUGGUACAGUGGUAAAAACUCCGGUGGUAUGAGAUGGACCCGCGUCUGAUUAGGUAGUUGGUGAGGUAACGGCCCACCAAGCCGACGAUCAGUAGCCGACCUGAGAGGGUGACCGGCCACAUUGGGACUGAGACACGGCCCAGACUCCUACGGGAGGCAGCAGUGGGGAAUAUUGCACAAUGGGCGAAAGCCUGAUGCAGCGACGCCGCGUGAAGGAUGAAGUAUUUCGGUAUGUAAACUUCUAUCAGCAGGGAAGAAAAUGACGGUACCUGACUAAGAAGCCCCGGCUAACUACGUGCCAGCAGCCGCGGUAAUACGUAGGGGGCAAGCGUUAUCCGGAUUUACUGGGUGUAAAGGGAGCGUAGACGGCUGUGCAAGUCUGAAGUGAAAUGCAUGGGCUCAACCUAUGGACUGCUUUGGAAACUGUGCAGCUAGAGUGUCGGAGAGGUAAGUGGAAUUCCUAGUGUAGCGGUGAAAUGCGUAGAUAUUAUGAGGAACACCAGUGGCGAAGGCGGCUUACUGGACGAUGACUGACGUUGAGGCUCGAAAGCGUGGGGAGCAAACAGGAU